AGUAUCAUAAUAUUCUCAAUUUUAUAAAAUUAUUCAGCAGCUGUUUUAUAAAAGACUGCAUUACCCGAGAGUUCUAAGUAUUAUUAUUUAUAUAUACUGCAUUAAAAUCAGAAAAUUAUAUGGUUUACCAUCUUUUUAGAGGACGUUUUAUCUUUGUAUCCGCUACCGGCGGCUCGCGCUGAAGCUCAUCCGCGCAGCAGCAGUCACGCGCGCGCCGCCGAGCUCUUCUCUCUGCUCGCGGAGGCGUUUGACGUACUGAGCGACCACUUCUUCACCAAUGAUGGCAGUGAGGACAACGCAGCUUUUAAGAGCUUGCGUGGGCAAAAAGAAAAUCUGCAGGAUCCACCAAUUGAGAGAGACCUUCACCUUGCCUUGGAGGACCUUUAUUAUGGAUGCACUAAAAAAAUUAAGAUAUCCCGUAGGGUCAUGAAUGAAGAUGGACACACAUCCAGCAUCAGGGACAGGAUUUUAACCUUCACUGUAAAAGCAGGAUGGAAUGAAGGGACACGGAUCACAUUUCCAAUUCACAAUUUUAUUUCAAUGUGUUUGUAAAUUGAUCUUGGUCAUCACAGAGUGUUGUAUGUUUUUUUUCCCUCUCUCUACACAGGGACCAAACAACAUCCCAGCAGAUAUUGUUUUAUCAUACGCCAAAAGCAUCAUCCAUGCUUUGUCCUCCAAAAUGAUAAUCUGUACUACACAGCACAUAUUUCCCUUGAGAAGGUGAAAAACAUUGUUUUCGGCACCGGCAAAAAAUGUAUUUCAUGUAGAAUAUUGUAGAUAAAUAGAUUAUGAUUUUGUUUUUGUUUUUUGGUCUAGUUUUCAUGUUGAAUAUUUGAUAGGCUUUUUAAUCAGACCAACAUGAUAUUAAAAAUAAACAAAAGCUUAAGUUUAUUUGAAAUUAUAUUUUAGUAUAAUAGGAUUUUGUAUAUUUAUAUUUGUGGCAACUCUGCAGGCUUUGAUUGGUUUCUCAGUAGAAGUCAAGACACUAGAUGGCAGGCUUCUCAACAUCCCCAUCAAUGACAUUGUGCAGUGAGUAACCAUUUCUUUCUGUAGCCUACACAGGUCAGAUAAUAGACAAGUCAGUACACGUUUUGUUACUCCAAACUUUUGAAUGUGGUUUUCAUAUUCAAGAUGAUUUUAACUUCUUUACACUACAGCCCUAAGUACACCAAUGUUGUGACCGGGGAGGGAAUGCCACUAGUCAACAACCCAUCCAAGAGAGGGGACCUUAUCAUUCACUUCAUUACACAUUUCCCAGAGAAGCGCUCACCUGAAAAGAAACCGC
Long non-coding RNA from Carassius auratus (goldfish), 1285 nucleotides. RefSeq lists it as uncharacterized. The transcript is spliced from 3 exons. NCBI's taxonomy places the organism in Eukaryota, Metazoa, Chordata, Actinopteri, Cypriniformes, Cyprinidae. The record is from RefSeq and is a predicted model, not a curated record.